This 346-nucleotide RNase P RNA is filed under the name Clostridiales bacterium. Its description in RNAcentral is "RNase P RNA component class A". It matches the Rfam family "Bacterial RNase P class A". Rfam says of the family: Ribonuclease P (RNase P) is a ubiquitous endoribonuclease, found in archaea, bacteria and eukarya as well as chloroplasts and mitochondria. Its best characterised activity is the generation of mature 5'-ends of tRNAs by cleaving the 5'-leader elements of precursor-tRNAs. The record is from RNAcentral. Lineage: Bacteria; Bacillati; Bacillota; Clostridia; Eubacteriales.
UGAGUUUGUUAUACGGUCGCGGUGUCUUGAAAAAGACAAUGAGGAAAGUCCGAGCAGCGCAGGACGGAGUGCCUGAUAACGUCAGGUGAAGGUGACUUUAAGGAUAGUGCAACAGAAAUAAACCGCCGAAAUUUUUCGGUAAGGAUGGAAAGGCGAGGUAAGAGCUCACCGAUAUCUUGGUAACAAGGUAUGCCAUGUAAACCCCACUUGCUGCAAGAUUGGGUAUUCGUCAAAAUGGGUUGUCCGCCCGACGGAUACCGUGAAUAUCGCUUGAGCUUAUCGGUGACGGUAAGCCUAGAUAGAUGACCGUACACGACAGAACUCGGCUUACAGACAAACUCAAAUC